CAACUGGCCAACUCUCCUCCUGGGUGUAGCUGCUCUUUACUGUGAUCCUUCCUUCUGGACCAUUCUGAGUUCUGGCCCGUGGGACCGGAGAGCCCCUUUCACCAGGAUUUGGUUAGAGAAUAACGAAGGGCCAUGGUCAUACUCCCUGUAUCUCCCGGGCCAGCCUUGUGUGAAGAAAUGUUGAAGAAUGGCAUUGAGGGGCCUUUUGACGUGAUCUCUCCUGUAGGAGAAGGCCAACAGAAAGCCCGUGACCAUCCACACUGCAUUAAAUGCCUGAUGUGAGUGGAGGGUUCCCAAGACUGGGAGCUCCAAGGACAGCGUGGAGGACCACCUUCACCAGUGAGGAAACUGAGGCACAGGAAAGAACUCAGAUGUCUGGUGUUCUGUCCAGUCCACCUGAGCACCUUCUCUGGCACCUGCAGGUGUGUCUUUUGAGCCUUGCAAAGACACCAGACUUAAGCAACACGUUGUCACCACGGCUGUCCAGUGCCAGGGAGGGCAGGGUUAGAGCCCAGUUCUUGAUUACCUAGGCCCCCCUGCUGGGGUGCUCAUGCAUUUCGUGGGCCCUGCUUUGCUUGCCCUGGAGGGCACCUGCACUGAGUGCACCAAGAAGCACAAACGGCUGGCUGGGAGGAGCCUGCCCUGGCUGAUCAGCCACGGAUGCAUAUCCUGACAAGUUUUCAAGAUGCAGAUCAAGCCGUUGCUGGGCUUUGGGGAAAUGACUAGCAGACAGAGGAAAUCCGAGGGAGCGCCAGCAUAGGGAAGGCCAGCCAGCUGGGGACCUGGGUCUCCUCUGCAAGCUUCUGCAUCCUCAACUCAGGAAAUCCUUUGUCUUUCUCAAUGAAGCUCUGCAGCUUCUUGGAGACUCCAGAGAGUGGCAGGGCUGUAACCUCUCAUUCAGUAGCCCGAAGGUCAGUCACGAGGCAUUUAGUUGAAAGUACGCAAAAUGGCUGCAGCUGCUCCUCAGGCACUGGAGAACCCAGGCACUGGAGGGGGAGGUAAAAUGGCCAGACUCGGCUAAGGCUAAACGCCAUCACAGGUCCAGGCGUACUUGGUGAUGUGUUGUGCGUGUGCCCUGACUGUGUCCUCUCAUCCAGACCUCAUUUUUUGAGCACGUCCCCCAUGCUCCAUACACGGUUGAGCACUGCAGGGAACAGAUAGACGUCAACCUUGACCCCAGAAAUAUCCAGAGCGUUGGAGAGUGCCGCAUGUUCAAAGAAGAAGAGAGCUAAGUGGGAAGCAAGUGAGGGCAAUUGUUUAAGAGAAGCCCUAACAAAUGCCUGGCUCAGCACAAUGCCUCAGGAAUCUGCCCGGCUCCUCUCCACACACAGAGACAGUUAAGGUGCUGUUUAGGAGAUGAAGCACAUAAAAAAACACAUUCUUCCCGGUAAACAGCUUAGUUAAGGACACCAGAUAGGCAUUCAAGGGACUGCCUGCGUCUCUCCCUCGCUCCAGGCAGAAAUGCAGAUGUCCCGUGGCUAGUUUAAAGGAGUAUUUAUGAAGAGUCAUUUCAAAGCUUCUUGCUGGGCCUUUGCAUAGCUUAAGAGAGUGGCCAUUAAGAUGUGUCUGUCAGAUGAGAAAGCUUUUCACUCUAAGUAACAGAAAACCAGAUUAACUGUGUCUUAAACAUCUAGGGUGUUUAUUGUUAAGAUGUCUUCAGCCUUGUUGUCAGCUCCAGUGUGGAACCACCAAGCUUUCAGGAUUUUUUUUUUUUUCUGGGGUUUUCAUCCUCUCCUCAGUAACUCGCUCAAUGUUCAUCUGUGUACAUUGUAGACUCAUGGUGGCAAAAUGGCCGUUGAAGCUCCAGGCAUUAAACCCGUCUUCAAAGCAGGUAGAAGGGAAAAGACUCUCUGCUGUCCUGCUGAUGUAACUCCCCUCU
Molecule: long non-coding RNA, 1879 nt
Filed under: Cricetulus griseus (Chinese hamster)
Lineage: Eukaryota; Metazoa; Chordata; Mammalia; Rodentia; Cricetidae
Description: lncRNA (ENSCGRG00015034033.1)
Source: RNAcentral